This 340-nucleotide ribosomal RNA is filed under the name uncultured soil bacterium. RNAcentral describes it as "bacterial SSU rRNA". It matches the Rfam family "Bacterial small subunit ribosomal RNA", at positions 26 to 377 of the family's 1533-position model. The record is from RNAcentral.
AGAUUGAACGCUGGCGGCAUGCCUAACACAUGCAAGUCGAACGGGAGUAGCAAUACUCUAGUGGCGGACGGGUGAGGAAUACGUAGGAAUUUGCCCUUAAGUGGGGGAUAACCCGGGGAAACCCGGAUUAAUACCGCAUGACCUCGAAAGAGCAAAGUGGGGGAUCGCAAGACCUCACGCCUUUGGAGAAGCCUACGUCGGAUUAGCUAGUUGGUGAGGUAAUGGCUCACCAAGGCGACGAUCCGUAACUGGUCUGAGAGGAUGAUCAGUCACACCGGAACUGAGACACGGUCCGGACUCCUACGGGAGGCAGCAGUGGGGAAUAUUGGACAAGUGGGCG